Molecule: transfer RNA, 579 nt
Filed under: Vibrio parahaemolyticus
Lineage: Bacteria; Pseudomonadati; Pseudomonadota; Gammaproteobacteria; Vibrionales; Vibrionaceae
Description: 16S-23S ribosomal RNA intergenic spacer region
Rfam family: tRNA (bases 67-140)
Source: RNAcentral
AAACGAUGAUUACUCACGAUGAGUGUCCACACAGAUUGAUACGGUUUAUGUAGAAGAGACGAUACUGGGUCUGUAGCUCAGGUGGUUAGAGCGUUCGCCUGAUAAGCGAGAGGUCGGUGGUUCGAGUCCACUCAGACCCACCAAUUCCUUUUAGGGAGUUGGCAUACAGUAUCGACACCUUGAUGGGGCUAUAGCUCAGCUGGGAGAGCGCCUGCCUUGCAAGCAGGGGGUCACUGGUUCGAGCCCGGUAUCGCCCACCAUUCUCUAAGUAUUUUUGGAUAGGAAUUCCAAACCACUUCAGUAAGACGUAUGUGGUUAGAAUCUUCGACUCUGAAAGUCUUUAGAAAAUGUACUUCCUUGUGAAGAAACAUAGCUCUUUAACAAUUUGGAAAGCUGACAAAACAACAAUUUAUUGUUGUUUGUAAAGUUCUCAAUGUUUGUCUUUAAGACAAACACCAAAAUAACACAUUCAAGUGUUCUUGGAAUUUGAGUCCGGCAAAAUCGAGUCUGCAUCAUGUAUAAAAAUUGCAGACAACUUUGGUGACUUGUUCAUCAACUCGAAACUCCUUCGGGUUGUAU